This is a long non-coding RNA of Neogale vison (American mink), 724 nucleotides long. RefSeq lists it as uncharacterized. The record is from RefSeq and is a predicted model, not a curated record. Lineage: Eukaryota; Metazoa; Chordata; Mammalia; Carnivora; Mustelidae. The transcript is spliced from 5 exons.
GUGAAUUGUCAAACCGGAGGGGACAGGAGGGUGUCCUAGAGCUCCAGGGCAGCGGGAGAGGAGUAGAGGCAGGAGAUGGUGUGCAGUGUGAGCUGGGCGUUAAGGAAGGGUCAGGGUGAAAGCAAACCGGGGCGAUUCUGACUGGUGUAACUGUGGGGAGGUGGCCCCGAGAACAGAAAGAGGACAAAGAGGAGGCACCACAAUUGGAAACAGAUGAAGAGCUCAACUGUGGUGAUGUGAGGCCCCAGAGGAAAACCCAGACACUGCAGAACGAUUUUAUGACACAGUUAACCGCCAUGAAGGCUGGUGAAGUGCUGGGCUGAGACCAUCCCAUUCAUCCUGUGGCGUUCUCAAUGCUCAAGUUCUAUAGGAACCUUCAAAGAUCACUCAUUGCCACGGCAAAGAUUUUAAACCCUUGAUCCUGUCUUCGGAAGCCAGCCCGCGUUUUGGCCCCUACAUCUCUAUACUGCGCAGUCCAGAGCCCACGCUCCAGCCCAUGGGGACUCCUUCCUGGCCUCAACGCAUUCCUGCUCCUGCAUAAGCAAUUUGAAGGUAUGGCUCCAUUGUCUUCUGACUUGCAUUAUUUCUGGAUAUGAUUCCUGCUGUGAUGGGUUACACGCACAAGCCUGGAUUUAUGUCAAAGUCUCAACUGCAGAAUCUUCUGGAUAUCCCGAGGGCACAUGUUCAAUAAAGAAGCCACUCCCUUGGGGUGCCUGGGUGACUC